UGCCCGUGGCAUAUGGAGGUUCCCAGGCUAGGGCUCCAGUCGGAGCUGUAGCUGCCAGCCUUUGCCACAGCCACAGCAACAUCAGAUCCGAGCCUGUCUGUGACCUACACCACAGCUCAGGGCAACGCCGGAUCCUUAACCUGCUGAGCGAGGCCAGGGAUCGAACCCACAACCUCAUGGUUCCCAAGUCAGAUUCAUUUCCGCUGCGCCACAACGGGAAUUCCAAUUUGCAUUACAUUUUGAAUUUGAUUCGUGAGUUAUGUAGUAGCUUUCAAAAACUUUCCAGACACAUAUAGCAAUUUUUACUUAUCUUUUUCUUGAAUUGUAAUUUAGUUAAUUGAAUUGUGGUCGGAGAGCAGCUGGUACUAUAACAGUUCUCUGAUCGACAUUGAGUCUUGCAUUAUAGCUGCUACAUCCUGAAUUUGUCUAAACUUUUCACGUGAACUUGAAAAGAGUCUUUUCUAAUUAUUGGGUGAAGCGUUCCACAUACAUCCAACAAACCAAGACUGUUACUUGUUGAAAUGUUUCCAGUCUUUACUAAUGCUUCUGUUAGCCUGCACUCUCAUCUAGCUCGCGCUCAUUGCUAGAGAUCUAUAAAUCAACUAUAAUAAAAAUUAAAUUAAAAAAAUCUUCCAUGACGGUAAACUUGCCAAUUUCUCCCUGUCGUUGUGCCAAGAUUUUGUUUAUACAUUUAAGUCUUUUCCAUUAGGUCUGUUGUGUUUAAAACUAUUACUUCUUAGUUUAAUGACUAACUAAGACUGAACCUUUUAUCGUUUUAUAAAGUAGCUGCUUAAUAGAUAAUUCACGAAUGGCCUCAUUACAGGGGUAGUGCAGCUCUGCUCCUCCCGGUCGUUGGUGGCCAAGGGUGCAGGGGUCAGGGCUGGCGAUCUCGCAGGUGGCUCCCUGUCUUCACCCAUUACUUGGGAAUAUUUAAAAGUCUGAACGUCACUUUGAAUCGUAAGCAGCACCAACAUUUUCCGGGCUUCAGAACGUCCUGAAUCCACUCUGAGGACAUCUGGCGUGACAGUUCGCUGAGGCACCUCCGUCCCACACCUUCAUCUGGCUGAUACCAAAUUACAAGGAGGAGCUCCUCCAGAGCUGCCACCUGACCUGCCACCCAGCCCCCUCCCAGAGCCACUCAAGAUCCUCAGGGCAGACGCCCGCAGGGCUCACCGCUCUGCCUCGAGGCCCCCCGGCCGCUUCUCGAGAAGACCAUGCCCGCUGAACCGCAGCGGGAACUCCCAGAUGGUACAGUUCUUGAGAAGAAAACUUUGCUUCUCCAUCAGGCUGGAGUUAAAACAGUAACUUUUAUUAUUGUUUUGAGAACUUGACUAGUAUCCGUGAGGACGCAGGCUCAAACCCUGGCCUCGUUCAGUUGGUCAAGGAUCUGGCAUGACCAUGAGCUGCAACGUAGGACAUGGCUCUGAUCCCGUGGUGUAGGUCAGCAGCUACAGCUCCGAUUCGAUCCCUAGCCUAGGAACCUCCACAUGCCGUGGGUAUGGCCCUAAACAGAAAAAAAAUUGUAUUUUCUGAUGGGACUGAAAUGAGCCUGCUAAGUGGGCACGAAAGAGCCUCUCGCUCUCUCAAAUGCCAUAGGGAGACUCUGGAUUAGCCUCUGGGUAGUCUAUACUGCAUGUCAUGAAGGUGGAGCCUGGGCAGUCACAGAGGUUGCAGAGGUCAAGGAGUGGCUACUAGCCAUCAAUCCCCUCCCACGUGCUGGAUAUUUUCCAGACAGUAUGAGAUUCAGGGCUCCCAGGAACCUGACGUGGUGGGUACCACUAAACCCCCAUUUUGGAGAGGAGGCCACAGAGGCUAUGGGAUGCCGUGCCCAGACCACGCUGGUGGCAAGCGGUCGGGACACGUGUCCUGUGUCUGACAGGUGAGCAGCUGUCCGGGUUGCUCCCCAGGACCUGCCUCGUCACACACAGCUGAGUGUGUGCGUGUGUGGGCACAGCGACCAUCCCCAAGCUUGGCAAGCCCGCAGCCCGACAGACACCAUCGGCCGGUCAUGCUGCCCAGUGCCCAGGCGAGCCGAGCAGCACGCCAGCGCCUGGCACUGCCACCGCCGGGGGUCAGGGUACAGGGACUUACCUGCUGGGGACUCCGGCCCUGUCGUUGUCCGCUCUGUGCCGAGACACGCUGGCUCUGGGGGCUGGAAGGCGGUGGGGACGCUGGGGAGUUCGUGCUGAAAU
RNAcentral lists this long non-coding RNA (2192 nucleotides) under Sus scrofa (pig). Its description in RNAcentral is "lncRNA (ENSSSCG00030014155.1)". The record is from RNAcentral. Lineage: Eukaryota; Metazoa; Chordata; Mammalia; Artiodactyla; Suidae.